This 253-nucleotide ribosomal RNA is filed under the name uncultured bacterium. RNAcentral describes it as "partial 16S ribosomal RNA". It matches the Rfam family "Bacterial small subunit ribosomal RNA", at positions 524 to 776 of the family's 1533-position model. The record is from RNAcentral.
UACGUAGGGUGCGAGCGUUGUCCGGAAUUAUUGGGCGUAAAGAGCUCGUAGGCGGCUCGUUGCGUCGGCUGUGAAAACCCGCAGCUCAACUGUGGGCCUGCAGCUGAUACGGGCGGGCUGGAGUUCGGUAGGGGAGACUGGAAUUCCUGGUGUAGCGGUGAAAUGCGCAGAUAUCAGGAGGAACACCGGUGGCGAAGGCGGGUUGCUGGGCUGACACUGACGCUGAACUGCGAAAGCUAGGGGAGCGAACGGG